Molecule: long non-coding RNA, 329 nt
Filed under: Cotesia glomerata
Lineage: Eukaryota; Metazoa; Arthropoda; Insecta; Hymenoptera; Braconidae
Description: uncharacterized LOC123259582, transcript variant X2
Source: RNAcentral
UGCGAAGCGCAAUUACCAUCAUUUUAGUAUAAAUACUGACAAUUCAGAGAAUUUAAGUCAUUAAAUUAUAAGAAGUGUCUACUACUGUCUCGAAGAAAUUCCUAUAAUUGACGGUUAAGUUAACAUGUCGAAGCUCUUAAUCAACUUUUUUUUCUUUGCAUUGCUCGCUAUCAUGAUUAAUCCGUCUUUGGGAUGCAAAGGAAACGGAGAAUUGUGCAGAGACGAUGGUGAGUGUUGCAAUCACUUUUGCGUGAGAUCCAUGUUCGCUCAAAUAUGUGAGCCCAGAUGGGGAAAAUAAUAAUUUUUUUCAUGUAAAACUUUGGUUAAAU